AGUGAACGCUGGCGGUAGGCCUAACACAUGCAAGUCGAACGGCAGCACAGUAAGAGCUUGCGCUUACGGGUGGCGAGUGGCGGACGGGUGAGGAAUACAUCGGAAUCUACUUUUUCGUGGGGGAUAACGUAGGGAAACUUACGCUAAUACCGCAUACGACCUACGGGUGAAAGCAUGGGAUCUUCGGACCUUGCGCGAUUGAAUGAGCCGAUGUCGGAUUAGCUGGUUGGCGGGGUAAAGGCCCACCAAGGCGACGAUCCGUAGCUGGUCUGAGCGGAUGAUCGGCCACAUUGGAACGGGACCACGGUCAAGAGUCCUACGGGAGGCAGCAGUGGGGAAUAUGGGACAGUGGGGGGAAGCCUGGUCCAGCCAGCCGGGGUGGGUGAGAAAGGCGUUGGGGUUGUAAAGCCCUUUUGUUGGGAGGAAAAAGCGGCAGGUUAUUACCCCGCUGUUCUGACGGUACCAAAAAAAUAAGCACCGGCUAACUUCGUG
Molecule: ribosomal RNA, 492 nt
Filed under: uncultured bacterium
Lineage: Bacteria
Description: partial 16S ribosomal RNA
Rfam family: Bacterial small subunit ribosomal RNA
Source: RNAcentral